UGUAGAAGGUGGGAAGCAGGG
RNAcentral lists this unclassified non-coding RNA (21 nucleotides) under Mus musculus (house mouse). Its description in RNAcentral is "oocyte_clustered_small_RNA8132". Lineage: Eukaryota; Metazoa; Chordata; Mammalia; Rodentia; Muridae. The record is from RNAcentral.